GAAAAACUGCAAAUUAAGAUGUUGAUUAUACACCACCGGCUGUCUUAAUCAUCGUGAUCAAAAUCCAAAUAUUAAGGAAAGAGGCCUGGGAGGGAUACGUUUGGGCUUUUGUCAAACCCUCCACCAAACUCUGAAGCCCAGCCUGUGCUUCUCCAAAUCUUUUUCCGGGUAAGAGCCCCCAUCCGCCUGCCUGGGCCUCAAAGUGUUUCUCAAGAGUGGUUAGCGAGCCCCCCAUCCCCCAAACCCAGACACACCCCGAGUCCCAUGAACAUUUCUGGGCUGUCAAAACACACGGCUGCGUGUUCAAUCCCAAUAACUAGCGGAUGAUUAAUGAGCAGCUUGAUAAUUUAAUAUCGCAUGUGAUUAAAUUAUAAGGUGUGGGGGAGGGGAGCUCUGCACUAUCUCGACCGCCCGGGCGGAAGCCGACCAGCCAGCGGGUCUGGGCUGCGCAGAGAGACGCGCUCAUCCUUUGCACAGUGCCUGGCUAGGCUGGGCAACCGCGAGUCUGCGCCUUCCCAAGACAGGGCCCAGGUGGUGGUCAAAUUGGGUCACCCGAAGCCGCGUAUAUUCCGCAGUCCACGGACCCCCAACCCUAACUAGUGGCACGCGGGAUUCACUCCAUCCUGGGUUCCGGUACGUUGUGGGGAAAACCCGGGCGUAUUAAGCAGCACAAGAGCCCGAAGCUACGCAGAAGAGGAAAGAUUACACUAGAUGCAGGUUUCCUAGGGGCAGAGGCGUGUAACUGAUGUACUGGAGGGACUCCUGGUCAUCGCUCUUUCCUCCCGAAUGGGGAGUAGAGAACGAGUAGAGACUCGGGCGUGGCCACUCCUUCCCUCGGGAAAAAGUGUGAACGCAGAACUGCUCCAGGUAAAAGUACCGUUGCCACGUAGUUUCACCUCGAACGAGGUAGGUGGCUGUGUACAGCGCCGGCUGGCUGUUCGCUGGGCACCGAAGCCUCAGAGCGGCACCUGAGAGGCCACUGCGGAACACAGAAAAGAUUUUAGGGCUUAACCUCCAGUCGAAUAAGGCCACCACUCCUACCGCAUUGCCUGGGCCAAAAGAAUCCAAAGAGACCACUCCCUUCAAGGAUUCGCAUAUUCGGAGACAGCUGCGGAUUUGGGGAGCUGCGGCCCCGGCGUGCGCCGAGUUCAAGGGUCUCUGGUUCUUAGCGCAGAGUGUCCGGCGGCCACAGAACCGCGCGGGUCCAGUUGACGCGCCCUGCUUACUGGUGCACCCUCAAAGUCUGCCAAGGCGUGGCGCCCAUUUCUGAUCUCACAACUGGCGCCAAGCCGAGAGCCGGGGCUCCAAGGGUCGGACCAAGGGGGCAGAAGGAGGAGGGAGCAGCAUUCCGGUAUUAACGCCAAGUCGAGAAAGAAAGAGAAGAAGGCGAGCAGCGAGCUGCAGUUUGCUGCACACCCGCCACCAGAGACAUUUCAGACAGAAUUAAGCCUUUUGAAGUCGACCACUUACUGUGGUUUAAUUGACACUGUUCAACUGAGUGACAAUUGUUCAGUUGGAUGGGGGCGAUACACUCCCCACUUAUUUUUUAAUACGCAAAAUAAGAUUUGACGCCUUGGGUCUUGGUUCUUUUGUGACAAGGGGCGGGGUGUAUUUAUGACCGCCAAAUCUGUCGGUUGAAAUACCCCCGCCCUAUUCCCCUCCCUCCCGUUUCCGUUAAGUCUUUAUUAUAUUUGUGUUAAUGCACUUCAGGAAGGCCUUGUAAGAAACUCCCUCUCCUAAGCAAAUUGAAGGCCAGAUGCUGGAGCCUCACCGGUGUACCCCUAUUUGGGGGCAUGAGCUGGAAGCACCCUUUUACCGGGUCUAGAGAACAGAAGCUUGUUAGUCUAGGCGUUUGGGGACAAGGUGGGAGCCUUUCCCCUUCUUUGGCACUGGGAGGAGCCAGGGAGCAGGGAGUUUUGUGAGCCCAGAGGGAAGGUCCGGGAGCAACCAAGUUGCCCUUUCUUGGAUAGGCACAGGCUCUGGGGCAAGGUCGAAGGUUGCUGGGCAGACGUAGGCGCUGUCCAACAGGGAGGGGGGAUGAGGAGCAGAAGGUUUCAGCAUGCCUUCAUUCACCACUAGUCCUUGUCCUGCGGACCCUCGCUGCUACUCUCUGUAGCGUUUCUCCAGGACACUCUUCUACCCCGCAGAUAAGAGCCUAUCCACAAGGCCCAAAUGUAUCCAAGCCAAAAUCUGGGCCACGGGCUUUGGCGCUUCACUCUAGAUCUGGGGAGAACGCCACGAAGCCCAAUUUCCCACCCCACCAAAUCUGCUCCUGCUGUCCAAAUCCAAGGCAGCCUGUGACUGACUCUCCAACAGAGCCCAGGGAGAGCCCCGGAGUCUCGGAGUCUGCUCCAUUCCGUCGGUAAACCAAGGCUGUGGUGCCCUCACCUAACGCCACACUCCGCCCACCUGCGUGCCUCCAGCGGCGCCCGCACGCAGUGAGGGCGCUCCCUUUUAACUCUCCAUCUCCUCCUGGUGGAGGGUGCAACCGAAGAACCCUUUCUUGCCGAGUACUAAACCCAAACAGGCGGCUUUUCCAAGAUGCCAAGAACAGAAUGGUUAAAUUCGAAGUUUGGGAAAACUGCUCUGCUCCAAAGUUCACUGCCCUUGCGAACCAAACCGCAGAGCUACUGAUUGAAUGGCCGCGCCGCCAACGUAGCGACUCUGACUUGGGUCCGGAGCGGGCGGGUUGGCGGAGGCUGCAAUGCCAGCGGGCAGCUCCCCUGAGGACACCAGAGGAGACUACAGGGAAUGCGUGGGUGGGCCUUUCCCUCCGCGCACGCCUUCUUCGCAGCCGGAACCCCAGCAACGCGUUAAAUUAGGGUCGAACUCCAGCACUGGGUCGGGGAAUCUUGUGUCCGCCCCGUCCAGGCUUGGGAGUCCUAAGUUAGGGCAGUGAGAGCCAGUUGGUGCGGCUCCCGUCUGCUCCGGCCACCAGCAUCGGCGGUGGCUGGCAGGUCAGCCCUUUUGCCCACUGUUCUGCCCCCACCCUCGAUCACGUUGCCAUGCGGGUCCCCAUGCUACCCUCCUUCGCCCGCGCUCCCUCCAAGUUGCCGAGUUUACCAGCGCGUUUUGUUCCGGUUUCGGAUUCCUGGCCGAGGGGCAGUAACCGCUCUCUUCUCGGACGGACGCUAAUCAAGUAAUUUCCCCAUCCCAGCCCCAUCAAAUUGCUCUUUAGCUGUUGAACCGCGGAGUUUUGCUCGCCUUUUCACAUGCUAAUCACGCCCAUUCAGCGGCUCUCGGUGGGGCUGUUUGUCGCGGGAUAAAUCUCCUUGUUUGCCCGCUGCAUGAUUAAUUGAUAUUGUUGUCUGGCUUUUGUGGGGACCGCGAGGAGCUGAAAGGCGGCGCGUCGUGACUGCGCUGGGGGCCGCUGGCGACCUCAUCGGGCUGCUGAGGUCCCGGCGAGGUCGGGCCGGGACUGAUGACAUUAUGCGCCCGAUUUGGUUUCCCUUAUUAGAAAGAUGAUGAAAGACUUGGAAACCCCAGUCUUAGAACUCACCACCCGGUCGUAGAAACCGCAUAGCGUUAAGCCACACAUUCAGACAAAGCACGGGCGUUUGCUCAAUUUAGGGAAACGAGUGGGUGUCGCUUCUCCACGCAGGAGACAAUUAAAUCUUAUUUCGGCCCACCCGGGAUUUCAGUAGAAUUGAACAUGAAGCUGCAGAAUAGUUUGUUUUUUCAAACAAAGAACAGCAACAAAAAUUUUUUAUUGGUUCCAGGUUGUAAAGGCUGGUUAAAUUUACUCUUAAAAGGAAAGUAAAUGGAAGUCAGUGUUCCGAUAGAGACCUUGUAGGCAACGGUAGAGGAAAGCCAUGCAAAGGUGCUUCCAGGUUGGACCCCGAGCUUUUCGGUUUGCCAAAACGCGCAGCAUUAAUUGGUAUAGCCAGCCACCGUGAAGACCCGCGCUAACGCAAACUGGCGCUAUUACUAAGACGCGAGUCCGCCUGUAAGCCCAUGUUUAUUUGACUUCACUGGUCCCUUUUCUUUGCUGCAUUUUCCCGCAGUCCUCAGGUGUUCAGUCAAACCAACAAAUUCCUCCUUCCCUUGCACCCCUCCCGCCUUCUCCCCGGUACCCUGGGGUUUUAUCCUCCACGGUCGUCCCAGAAAACUAGGAGAUUCAAUUAAACAAUUCCAGUUACGCGGUGCUCCUACUGCCUGCUUAUUGCAAAUAUUUCCUUUUUCGAGUUCUUAAAAAAAAAAAGCAAAGAGAAGAAAAGAAACUGUCGCCUUCGCUUUCACUGAGCGCGGGGUAAUUGAUAGGCGCCAUCAGAGGUCAGAAUUUGCAUAAGAAUUAAGAGCAGUAAAUUAAUUUAAUAUUCCGUGCACAUCUCCAAUUAUUCCUGGAGACCUUUGUCUCCACGGCUGCCAGAGAGGGGAUUCAGCUGCUCUUCAACCAAACAACAUCUGUGCGGUUAAUAAUUUGAUAAACAGCUCAUACAAAUAGUUUCUGAAUUAUCUGGCAGCCCAAUGACUAUUCAGUUUGGAAACGUUUUGGCAGGGUCUCCCGGAGUCCUCUGAGGGCUGUAGGCACCCGCCCUAACAAAUGUCUUCUUAUCUUUUAAACAUCAACAGACGACAAUGUGUAAAAUAAGCCAUUAUCAUUAAGUAAUAACCCUAACCCUUAAAUAAAAAAAUCCACUGGGGUCAUCAAGGUGGUGCAUGUCCUCUGUUAGAGACUCUGAGAUGCAUAAACAGGCUGGGCAGUAGAGCUGAAUGAAGAACAACCUGCUAGGAAGGAAAGACCUGGGUGUUGUGGGGAGGGCUGUUUUAUGAUUUUUUUUAACUCUUGAAAUUGAGUGACUGGACUUGUGCUUGGAAAAAUCUGCAAGAAAGGGCUCUGGGGGAGCUACUGGAAGGGAGCCAAGGUAGUGGGCUAGAGGGAGACCAACUUUUCACUGUAUUGAUUCUUGUACCUUUCACUUUUCUCCCCGUAUGCAGGUAUUAUUUAUUCCAAAAAUAAAUAUGUAAAAAUAAGUUGAAUCAUCAUAAAACAGGCGUAAGUUAUUUUGGGUGGGAGUAGUCCUUAAUUGACUUGUCCUCUUUGACAGGGCUACCUUUCUUCCUACCUUCACCCCAAGAUGAUCCACCCUCAUCCUGAAAGCAGCUUCCCACAAAGCAUAAAUAUGUGGGAAGACAUAUGGAGAGGGCACACAUUUUCCUACACUUCAGCCAUAAUAUUGUGUUGUCCCAAAUAGGGAAGGAGCACUUGUAGAAUGAUGCUGUCCUGUGUCCAAACAGGCCCAAAUUUAGAUACUUCCGCCUUGCUAUCCUUCUCUAUUUGAAGAUUUUGUGACUGCGAUUAUGGUCUUUUAUAUUUCUGACACCCGUAGCAGAGCCUGUUCCUAAUAGAAAGUCUAGAAAGGAACCAUUUGAUUUUGAAUGAGUUUCAGACUGCUCAAAUUCUUGCAUCCUGCACAUUGCAGCUCUGUGGACUACAAAUCUGUGUUUACCCUGGAAUUGUUCUGCAGCAACUUCAAUAUAACAGAAUGUUGGAAGAGGGUCUUUAUCUCUCUGUCUAUGCAUUCCCACGUGUUUGAUGUACACACCUCAUGCAUUCAAUAUUCUACUUUCUAUUUCCUAUACUGCCAACAAUCUAAGUACUUGAAGCCACUGAAAACUACCCAGAAGUUCUGAGUAGGGUCGAAGCAGUAAUAUGAUAGAGUUUUGUCCUUGUACUCUAAUGAGCUCUGGUAGCAUCGAGCUUUAAAGAUAGGCAAACCCUUCAGUCUAUAGGUCUAAAUAUACAACUUUACAAUGAAUACGAGCUUGCCUGGACUCAAUUGAAGAAUUACUUUUUCAGAAAACAACUCAUUGUGUGAUACAAAUAGGACAAUAGCAUUUCUACUAGGCAUAUUCAUUUCUAUAUUUAACAUUUUCUUCUUGCAUUUCAUUAGAUUUUUCCCCGUAGAACUAUAGACACCGCCAGGCCUUGUAGGCUUUUAUAUGCAUACAAAUCAUCUCUGUUAUUUAUGAUGGGGGGUCCGUCUGCAUCCUUUUAUUAAUUUCUGACUUUGAUUCAGACUUCUCUAGUCAGCAGAGUGAUUUGAAAACAUAUCUUUUCUUAAAUGAACAUUAUCAAUUCUUUUGGGAGUCAUUCUAAUUUUAAACACCAACAUAUUCAGUUUCUUAAUCUGCAGCUCUGGUGUUACUCAUUUUUAUGCACACAACCUAUCCCCUUUGGCGGUAGUUCCUUUAUGCUCCAUAUUUAUCUUCUUUACAUUUGUUUGACUAUUUUUCAAAGCAGUAUAUGGGCAGAAAAUGGCUAUUAAACAAGAAGGCAGGGAACUCUGAUUACAUUUUUGACUGUGUAAGUAAAAUCACUGAACAUGAAAAUUUUGAGAUUUUUUUUCUACUAAUGAGCCCUCUCCAGAAAAGCCGUCUGGAUACCAUUAAAGUUGAUGAGUUUAGAAGGAUUAUCCUGAUAAAUGUUUGGCUUUUUGGUGAUUAGACACAUAUUUUCAAAACAGUCUACUGAGCUAAGGUCUACAUUUGGAAGGAAUCUUCUGGUUAUACUCAUUUAUUGACUAUACUCAUUUAUGAAUAUAAAUAAUUUACCAGACAUUGUUGGAUUAAAAAAUCCAAAGUACUGUCUUUGCAUAUAUGGUUCAAAUCAGAGGAAACUCCUACUCAUGUUCACAUGCAAUAAAAACAUUGGGAAUAUAAUAAUAGGUGGUAUUCAAUAAUGAUACAAGCCAUGGUGAUUUCCAACAUAUCUAUAAAAGAUGCAUAACCUUUUUUUGGGGGGGGAAAGUUAAAGAAGGGCCAUAGGACAGAAUAAUGAUCUAAAGACUCAGUGUAAUCUCUAUUAGGGUAAAAUUUCUCUCCCCUUCCCCUCCCUGGUGCUGGGGAUUAAAGCCAGGGCCCUGGGUCGUGUGCAUAAGUGCUCUACCAUGAGCUACAUCCCCAGGCCCCCCAUUUUUUAAAUUUGAGAGAUAUGAACAGUGCAGAGCUAUUAAACAAAUUCUUCCAAUUUAUUUACUCCCACUGUCUUUAAAAAAUACAGUAUAUGCGUGUGUGUGUGUGUGUAUCCAGUUUAAAUCCAACUCUAUAAAAUAUUGAAUUAGAAAAAUAGGUUAGCAAGUAAAAGUUUUGAAUAGGGUUCACUUAGAUAAACCUGUUUGCUCUCAUUUUCCUUUGUUUUAAUAUUUAAAUGAACUGUGCUUAGUCUUCUAGCAUUCCUCACCCCAGAUACUGGGUUCAAAAAGGAGCAGCUGUGUUGAUUUGUAGAAGAUAAUUGGAAGCUACAGAAACAAGACCAGUUUCUUCAGAUAUGACUGUAAGAUGUCUCUUUACAACAUGGAUGUCAGUGAGCCUCCUGAUUCUUUCCUUUCCCACUCUUGGCCAGGAUUACAAUCAGUCAAGCUGAACUUCAUAUAACUUCAGGGGAACCCUACACACUAUUGUCACUAUAGAUUGUAUGUUUUGUAAGACACUCUUCUGAACAAAGCAGUACAGAUGUCAUUUUAAAAUCUGUAUGGAGGGACAACAUGGGCCAGCAAAGAAACUGGCUAGCUCUAUUUUUUUAAAAAAAAAAAGGGACACAGGUAAUAGUGCAGGGUCACCCCUUCCUCCACCAAUGCAUCUCCCCCGCCCUGCCCCCUUGUACCAGGGAUUGAACUCAGGGGCACAUCCUCAGACCUUUUUUUGUGUUUUUAUUUAGAGAUAGGGUCUCUUUGAGUUGCUAAGUGCCUUGCUAAAUUACUCAGACUGGCUUUGAAUUCGCAAUCCUUCUGCCUCAGCCUCCAGAGCCUCUGGGAUUAGAGGCAUGGCCACCAUGCCCAGCACCAAUGCAUCUUAAUUAAGCUUCUCCAGGGACCCUCUCCACAAUUGUUCUUGUUAACAAAAUAUCAGCAAAGAUCUCUGAAAAAAGGGCUGGAUGUGGUUGGACAUCCUAUUUCCUGUUGCUGGGCUCUGUCUUGCAAAACCUAAAUUUAAUCACUGAUUUGAUGAAUGUUACUCUGCUUUUGUGGUGUAUCCUGUAAAACCCCUGACUAUUCUAAGAAAUGGGGCAAAAAGCACUUUCUGAGAACUCAAAGGAAAAAAAAACUACUUUUAUGUAGACUUCUGCAAAAAUGUGAAACAUCAAGUCUCCUCCCUGCGCCUAUUGGGUAUAAAGUUCAAAGAAUUUCUAGAUUCUUGGUCCAGAGGAGAAUUUCAGGCAUUAGCUGCUUUCUGGACCAGCCAGCUGCAGCUAAUAAACCUGCUUCCUGAAAAUUCUGUCCUACUUCAAUAGGGACUCUGUGCCUCCUAUGCUAUUUGCUUUGGCCAGAAAGUUCAAUCCAAUAGACUCAACAACAUGCAUUUGAGACCUACUGUCUGAUUGGAAUCAAAGUGAAAAUAGAAGGUAAAAAUCGGUGGUGGGCAGAAAAACUGCAGGCAUUUGGGUAGUCACCUAAUGUCCCAGUGUCGCACACUUCUGUCUACCACUUCUCAUCAAUUAUUAUUAUUAUUAUUUUUUUUAAAGAGAGAGUGAGAGAGGGGGACAGAGAGAGAGAGAGAAAGAGAAUUUUAACAUUUAUUUAUUUUUUUCUUAGUUCUCGGCGGACACAACAUCUUUGUUGUUUUCUGGGGAUGAUGCUAACCCAAGUCAUGUAUUGAGGAUGGCAAAACUUCCCAAAAUGGCCUGGGCUGUCAAGAAAACUUCCUAGAGCAGAGCCUGCCCUCCCACUCUGGACUGUAAUAUGGAGACAAAAUAAGCUGGAGCAGCAAAGAUGCACUGGAAGAUUAGAGAUCCCUAAUACUGAAGAAAGUGAACUGAGGAGGGAUCUCUGUGGAUGAGUCAUCUCUCUUCACUUCAGCUAGACCAGUAAUACAGGAGAACCCUAAAGGAAGAUUGGUGGACAACCAGGAUGAAUAGAAGAGACAAAGACUGACAAGACUUCCUCAAUUGCUCCUACUGAUUAGUGGGGGCCAUUUCUAUAACUCCUUGAAUCUAUUCUCCCUGCAACUCCAACCCCGAUUUUUAUUAAAUGGCUAAAUUGCCCUUUUAGAUCAAAACUUUCUUCACUAUAUCAACCAAAGAUGGCUGACUUCAGCCUAUGUCAUUGCUAAGGAUAUUGAAUGUAUCAGAGAUGAUGGUUUUGUCCUAUUCAUUAUCCCAACUAGUAACUCUUUGUAUAUCAGUGGCUGGCAUGCAGAAAUGCUUUUUUUCUGGGUCCUUUCUUACUUUUUUUUUUGGCAGUACUGGGAAUUGAACCCAGGGCCUCAUGCAUGCUUGGUAGGCACUCUACCAUUGAGCUAUACCCCUACUCUCCUAGGUUCUUGGAAAUUUGUAAUUGAUGUUCUGUUCUAGAGGAGGCAGAAUAGAAUAUGGGCUGUGCCAUAGGUCACACCUGUGUUUAGAUUCUGCUUGUGUCACUAGCCAUGUGACCUUGAGAACACUGGAAAACUCUAUUAGAUUUGUGAAAACUUUUCCUCAUUUGUAAAAUGAGAAUAGCAAUAUCUAAGUCACACAGAUAUUGUGAGAAACCAAUAAAUAAAUGUAUGCUAAGUUUCUAGAAUGGUCUCUAGCACAAAGUUGUAUUUAAUAAGUAAAUGUAUGUAAAAUUUCUAGAAAAUUCCCUGAAGCAAAAUUGUACUUAAUAAAUGACUUUUAAAACAA
Non-coding RNA from Ictidomys tridecemlineatus (thirteen-lined ground squirrel), 9601 nucleotides. The record is from RefSeq and is a predicted model, not a curated record. NCBI's taxonomy places the organism in Eukaryota, Metazoa, Chordata, Mammalia, Rodentia, Sciuridae.